RNAcentral lists this ribosomal RNA (1121 nucleotides) under Lactiplantibacillus plantarum. Its description in RNAcentral is "bacterial SSU rRNA". It matches the Rfam family "Bacterial small subunit ribosomal RNA", at positions 339 to 1452 of the family's 1533-position model. Lineage: Bacteria; Bacillati; Bacillota; Bacilli; Lactobacillales; Lactobacillaceae. The record is from RNAcentral.
CUACGGGAGGCAGCAGUAGGGAAUCUUCCACAAUGGACGAAAGUCUGAUGGAGCAACGCCGCGUGAGUGAAGAAGGGUUUCGGCUCGUAAAACUCUGUUGUUAAAGAAGAACAUAUCUGAGAGUAACUGUUCAGGUAUUGACGGUAUUUAACCAGAAAGCCACGGCUAACUACGUGCCAGCAGCCGCGGUAAUACGUAGGUGGCAAGCGUUGUCCGGAUUUAUUGGGCGUAAAGCGAGCGCAGGCGGUUUUUUAAGUCUGAUGUGAAAGCCUUCGGCUCAACCGAAGAAGUGCAUCGGAAACUGGGAAACUUGAGUGCAGAAGAGGACAGUGGAACUCCAUGUGUAGCGGUGAAAUGCGUAGAUAUAUGGAAGAACACCAGUGGCGAAGGCGGCUGUCUGGUCUGUAACUGACGCUGAGGCUCGAAAGUAUGGGUAGCAAACAGGAUUAGAUACCCUGGUAGUCCAUACCGUAAACGAUGAAUGCUAAGUGUUGGAGGGUUUCCGCCCUUCAGUGCUGCAGCUAACGCAUUAAGCAUUCCGCCUGGGGAGUACGGCCGCAAGGCUGAAACUCAAAGGAAUUGACGGGGGCCCGCACAAGCGGUGGAGCAUGUGGUUUAAUUCGAAGCUACGCGAAGAACCUUACCAGGUCUUGACAUACUAUGCAAAUCUAAGAGAUUAGACGUUCCCUUCGGGGACAUGGAUACAGGUGGUGCAUGGUUGUCGUCAGCUCGUGUCGUGAGAUGUUGGGUUAAGUCCCGCAACGAGCGCAACCCUUAUUAUCAGUUGCCAGCAUUAAGUUGGGCACUCUGGUGAGACUGCCGGUGACAAACCGGAGGAAGGUGGGGAUGACGUCAAAUCAUCAUGCCCCUUAUGACCUGGGCUACACACGUGCUACAAUGGAUGGUACAACGAGUUGCGAACUCGCGAGAGUAAGCUAAUCUCUUAAAGCCAUUCUCAGUUCGGAUUGUAGGCUGCAACUCGCCUACAUGAAGUCGGAAUCGCUAGUAAUCGCGGAUCAGCAUGCCGCGGUGAAUACGUUCCCGGGCCUUGUACACACCGCCCGUCACACCAUGAGAGUUUGUAACACCCAAAGUCGGUGGGGUAACCUUUUAGGAACCAG